CCAUGUGCACUGGGAGGCUGGACUCAGAGCCCGCUUAGGAUUGACUGGUAGGGGCAGGAAGAAACAGGAUGGUCCCCACCUCGGAGCUUGGGUAACUGUGAGCUGCUCGGGUAGCUGCUCAAACAGGGGCUGCACAGGCUUCAUAUCUUCAUUUCGCGGGUCACAGGCAUGAGCAGCCGUGGCCGUUAGCCAUCUGGCCCCAGGACCCGCCAUCAGGGAACCUUCUCAAAAAUGCACAGGUCAAAUCCUCUCGCUGGGCUUCAGAUCUUUCUACACAAUUACGCUUGACGUUGGAGCCACUUUGUGGUCCUGCCUCUGAGGAGCAGAUGGCAAUGCAGACCCGUUUGUCUGGUUCUUCGUUUCUUUGGGAGGCCAACACUGCCGGCUUGGAGAGCCUGGGAAAGCCCAGAUCUUCCGAAACAAUGGUCAUGUAUAUACACUCAUCUAACAAAGAUUAGCCUCUUGGGGCACCUGGGUGGCUCAGUUGGUUAAGCGGC
Molecule: long non-coding RNA, 497 nt
Organism: Suricata suricatta (meerkat)
Lineage: Eukaryota; Metazoa; Chordata; Mammalia; Carnivora; Herpestidae
Exons: 3
Source: RefSeq, a predicted model, not a curated record